This 253-nucleotide ribosomal RNA is filed under the name uncultured bacterium. RNAcentral's name for it is "partial 16S ribosomal RNA". It matches the Rfam family "Bacterial small subunit ribosomal RNA", at positions 524 to 776 of the family's 1533-position model. The record is from RNAcentral.
UACGGAGGGGGCGAGCGUUAUUCGGAAUUAUUGGGCGUAAAGGGCGCGUAGGCGGCUGUACAAGUCAAAGGUGAAAUCCCUCGGCUCAACUGAGGAACUGCCUUUGAAACUGUACGGCUUGAGGCCGGGAGGGGGUAGCGGAAUUCCCAGUGUAGCGGUGAAAUGCGUAGAUAUCAGGAGGAACACCGGUGGCGAAGGCGGGUCUCUGGGCCGAUACUGACGCUGAGGAGCGAAAGCGUGGGGAGCGAACAGG